RNAcentral lists this ribosomal RNA (438 nucleotides) under uncultured bacterium. Its description in RNAcentral is "bacterial SSU rRNA". It matches the Rfam family "Bacterial small subunit ribosomal RNA", at positions 954 to 1392 of the family's 1533-position model. The record is from RNAcentral.
GCAAAACGCGAAGAACCUUACCUACUCUUGACAUCCAGAGAACUUUCCAGAGAUGGAUUGGUGCCUUCGGGAACUCUGAGACAGGUGCUGCAUGGCUGUCGUCAGCUCGUGUCGUGAAAUGUUGGGUUAAGUCCCGCAACGAGCGCAACCCUUAUCCUUUGUUGCCAGCGGUCCGGCCGGGAACUCAAAGGAGACUGCCAGUGAUAAACUGGAGGAAGGUGGGGAUGACGUCAAGUCAUCAUGGCCCUUACGAGUAGGGCUACACACGUGCUACAAUGGCGCAUACAAAGAGAAGCGACCUCGCGAGAGCAAGCGGACCUCAUAAAGUGCGUCGUAGUCCGGAUUGGAGUCUGCAACUCGACUCCAUGAAGUCGGAAUCGCUAGUAAUCGUGGAUCAGAAUGCCACGGUGAAUACGUUCCCGGGUCUUGUACACACCG